RNAcentral lists this long non-coding RNA (200 nucleotides) under Capsicum annuum. Its description in RNAcentral is "long non-coding RNA (CANN_LNC008805)". The record is from RNAcentral. Lineage: Eukaryota; Viridiplantae; Streptophyta; Magnoliopsida; Solanales; Solanaceae.
CCCGAUCUCCCAAGCAUCCAACGUUUCCAAGCUUGAAUCUAACACGAGUGAUUCCACACUCAAGUUGAUUUCCCUAGUUACAAUUUCGGGUUGGUGGUCUUCUCUCCUUAGAGAGGAAAUGUUUCAAGUGUUAUAAACUCAUAAUAUUCAUCAAAAUCUUCUAAUGAAACUCUACAUUAUUCUAUCUAUAGUGUUUACAA